UGGGGAUGACGUCAAGUCCUCAUGGCCCUUAUAGUGGGGCUACACACGUCAUACAAUGGAUGGUACAAAGGGUCGCCAACCCGCGAGGGGGAGCCAAUCCCAUAAAGCCAGUCGUAGUCCGGAUCGCAGUCUGCAACUCGACUGCGUGAAGUCGGAAUCGCUAGUAAUCGUGGAUCAGCAUGUCACGGUGAAUACGUUCCCGGGUCUU
Molecule: ribosomal RNA, 208 nt
Filed under: uncultured Acidovorax sp.
Lineage: Bacteria; Pseudomonadati; Pseudomonadota; Betaproteobacteria; Burkholderiales; Comamonadaceae
Description: partial 16S ribosomal RNA
Rfam family: Bacterial small subunit ribosomal RNA
Source: RNAcentral